Non-coding RNA from Nerophis lumbriciformis (worm pipefish), 2768 nucleotides. Lineage: Eukaryota; Metazoa; Chordata; Actinopteri; Syngnathiformes; Syngnathidae. The record is from RefSeq and is a predicted model, not a curated record.
AAAAGAUCAGAUGCUCUACUGAUCUUUAGAAUAUCCUGUUACUGCAUUGUGGUCAUCAUCGCUUGUUGUCUUUUAUACAUAAUACAUCAACUUAUAAAAGCAUGUUGUGAUAAAUAUAUUAUGAACAGAAGACAAAGUGCAGUAAAAGAUGAUUCAGUGUCUAAACAACAUAAUGAAAGCACAUCCCCACUUCCUUCCAAAGAGAAGAUGAAUAAACAGCAGAAACCAGAAGAAAAGCUUGACUCAGACAUGAUCACUACCACUCUACUUGAGGAUACCAGAAAGGAUCAGCAAGUUUAUGGAGGAGAAAAUGUGAAACAUGAAGAUGACUUACUGAGUCAAGCAACACUCAGCAACUGGCGAGUAGAAGUUAUCAGAACAAGCAACACAGGCACUUUAAAUCAUGUCACAAUGAGAAAAGUCCCCUCCUCCGCUUCUCUAAAAGAGGUAAACAUUCAUUAAUAAUGAAUCAGGACUCCUGGUGUCAACACCACAAACCCCUUUAAUGCAUACCUUAUAGUAAUUGUAACCAGGCCUAACUAUGUGUCAUUAUUGAACAUUUACAGAUGAUUAUUGAUUAUGCACUGCAGGAAAAUUUUGAGACAAUUGUUUGAAUUUUACAAUGAUUAAAGCAUUGUGAAAAAUGGUUGUGGAAAAAAGUUAGGUUUUUAAAAAAAAAUAGAUGUGUAUGUCAUUGUACAACAAUUAUUCACUAUAGGAGUAUUUUGACCAAAAGUUUGACAUUUUACAAAAACAUUUUACAGAAAUGAAAACACUAUCAAAUAAAAACAUCAAUCUAAAAUGUCAAUGGCAGUUUUGCAAAAGGGCACUUGGAUAUUGACUACAUAAAAAAUAGUAUUUCUACUCAGAUCAGACAUAUUUACAGCUACUAUUACCUACAGUUCUACAGCAACACAACAACUCUCUGUAGAUGUAUGAAACAUCCCUCUAGUCAGGCAAUCCCCUCCCACUCAUCUGAGCAUUAGAGCGGUCCACCACAUUUUGAUGUCAUGGGUGCAUUUACAAAAGAAAGAGGGCUAGUUGUCGGUUGUUGAGUGGUACAUUUUAAACUAAUAAUAACCUUUUGGCUGCCUUCUGGGAAUUGCAGGGGGGUUACAAAACCCUGUGAGUUGUCGGUGCUAGAUAACUCCAGGGUGAAUCAAUAGGUAUUUUACCUGUACUUUUACUUAAUUGACAUUGUUUUUAACAUUUUAAUAAGGUUCUGUUUUGUUCCUGCUAACAUGACAGUGCACAGCUGUGUAAGCAAACCAAACAGGGAGGAGGUAGACGAUGGAACGUGUCAAUGCUGCUUAGUACUGGUAUUACAGUUACGUAGUAUUCCAGUCCUGGAGCAAAGAAAAGUUCACUUUUAUUGAUUUCCGGCCAUAUGAAGAUGAAGUUUGUCAAUAUCUGUGUUGUUUGACAAAUGUUUUGCACUUUUCCUUUAGCCGGGUUAUUGUCACUUUGCCACUGUUGUGUUAAAACAGUCAUUGUAUAUAUAUUUUAUAGUGUAUAUUUUAGUCUUUAUUUGAUAUUAUUAUAAUAUUGUUUAACUGCCUUUAUUGUCAUUUGUGUCCAGUCAGUGUCCUCCCCCUCGUUUUGUACAUCAUACCGCAACUUUGCAAGUAUGUAUGUAUGUAUGUAUGUAUGUAUGUAUGUAUGUAUUGUUGCGUCAGACCAGUUCUUCCUCCCAGGGAAUCUAAGUUACUGGUCAAUCCCAAGUUCUUUCGAUGACAUAUAUGCUGAGUAAGAAGGACCAUCAAGACAGAAUUGGAAUAUUUUCAAGUUUAUACCAAAGCUGUAAGAGAUCAGCCUACCAAUACAUUCAUAUCGGCUGCUCUAGUUGAUCUAGCAUUAAAACGGAAAAAGACUUCUUGAAUAGGAAAACGGUCCCCCCCAUAAAGGAAUGCCUCCCCCUUCCCCAACACUGACAAGAUAAGGAGGGGGAUGCAUCUUUCUCACAUUCCAAUGCCUAAAACACUACACAGACAUCUGCAGACAAAGAGAAACUGGUAUACGGAGUAUAGAUGGAAAAAUACUAGCUGAUCCAAACAUGGCUAUGAAUAAAGAAAGAACUCUUAAACAUAUAUGCAUUCUCCACAGUAUGUAGUGUUGAUGCAGCGUGUAAUGCAGCUUGCUACAAUUCUGUGGGGAUAGCUUCGCCUGUAGCUUAGCUACAUUAAAUGUAGAGUAACUAGUAGCUUAUCUUACGACAAUAAAAAUAUUUUAUCAAAUAAUUUGUCUGUUUAGACAAAAUUGUAAGAAUUUGACAAUGGUAAUUUUGAAUAGUUGAAAAGUUUACAUUGACUGUUACUCUGUAGUGAAUUACAAUUGGCUUACAUGGCUUUUAAACAUGAGUGUGUAUUUCUGUUUUCAUUUAUUUUAUAAAGCAGAAGUUGCUUUGUUGGUCACGCCAAAUAAAUCUGACAAAAUAAUUGCUGUCUGACUUUAAUCGCCAAAUUGUGAUUAGCUAAUAGCAUGUGUGAUUUCACUGCACUGAGCAAAGUUUGGAGGUCUUUUUUUUGCACAUUCCCACAUCCUAAAACACAUAAACACCAUUUCCAUCAAAAACUAAAUUCAGAAAAAUUGCGAUAUGAUGUUUUUGUUUUAUGUAUUUUAUUUUAUUUUGUUAUCCCUUGCACGUGUUCAUGCUCUUUUUGUUUAUUAUUUUGUUAUAGUCGAGUUAUUUCAAUGUCUUAAUUACUGGUUCAACAUUAUUGAGGACAAACAUACUCUUUAUACAUAUUUUGUAUAUAUUUUGACAUGUU